GGGACUGGCGAGGUGCUACCAUGCAGUCGAGCGGUAAGGCCCUUCGGGGUACACGAGCGGCGAACGGGUGAGUAACACGUGGGUGAUCUGCCUCGCACUCUGGGAUAAGCCUGGGAAACUGGGUCUAAUACCGGAUAUGACCACUGAUCGCAUGGUUGGUGGUGGAAAGAUUUAUCGGUGCGAGAUGGGCCCGCGGCCUAUCAGCUUGUUGGUGGGGUAAUGGCCUACCAAGGCGACGACGGGUAGCCGACCUGAGAGGGUGACCGGCCACACUGGGACUGAGACACGGCCCAGACUCCUACGGGAGGCAGCAGUGGGGAAUAUUGCACAAUGGGCGAAAGCCUGAUGCAGCGACGCCGCGUGAGGGAUGACGGCCUUCGGGUUGUAAACCUCUUUCGACAGGGACGAAGCGCAAGUGACGGUACCUGUAGAAGAAGCACCGGCCAACUACGUGCCAGCAGCCGCGGUAAUACGUAGGGUGCGAGCGUUGUCCGGAAUUACUGGGCGUAAAGAGCUUGUAGGCGGUUCGUCGCGUCGAUUGUGAAAACUUGCAGCUCAACUGCAAGCUUGCAGUCGAUACGGGCGGACUAGAGUACUUCAGGGGAGACUGGAAUUCCUGGUGUAGCGGUGAAAUGCGCAGAUAUCAGGAGGAACACCGGUGGCGAAGGCGGGUCUCUGGGAAGUAACUGACGCUGAGAAGCGAAAGCGUGGGUAGCGAACAGGAUUAGAUACCCUGGUAGUCCACGCCGUAAACGGUGGGUACUAGGUGUGGGUUUCCUUCCACGGGAUCCGUGCCGUAGCUAACGCAUUAAGUACCCCGCCUGGGGAGUACGGCCGCAAGGCUAAAACUCAAAGGAAUUGACGGGGGCCCGCACAAGCGGCGGAGCAUGUGGAUUAAUUCGAUGCAACGCGAAGAACCUUACCUGGGUUUGACAUACACCAGAAAGCCGUAGAGAUACGGCCCCCCUUGUGGUUG
RNAcentral lists this ribosomal RNA (976 nucleotides) under Nocardia nova. RNAcentral's name for it is "bacterial SSU rRNA". It matches the Rfam family "Bacterial small subunit ribosomal RNA", at positions 32 to 1029 of the family's 1533-position model. The record is from RNAcentral. Lineage: Bacteria; Bacillati; Actinomycetota; Actinomycetes; Mycobacteriales; Nocardiaceae.